Morone saxatilis (striped sea-bass) is the source of this 278-nucleotide long non-coding RNA. RefSeq lists it as uncharacterized. NCBI's taxonomy places the organism in Eukaryota, Metazoa, Chordata, Actinopteri, Moronidae. The transcript has 3 exons. The record is from RefSeq and is a predicted model, not a curated record.
UUAUUCCUCUGUUUAUCAUUUUUGUACUGAAACUUUUUCCUCAUUAGUUUGAACAAGAACAAUUCUCAUCAAUGGUCAUCAGGAUAGAGCUACUAGGGGAUAAACUUCAUAAUCUGCAAACGCCCAUCACGAUGAUUUUCAGAACUUUUACAAUCGCAGAUAUGGACAAUGACUCAAGGUUACAGUGUCACUACUUUGAUGAACAUGAUUAUGUCUGGAAAACAGAUGGAUGUAAGACGUACAACGGAACCAGUAGUAACCAAACUGACAUUAUUUGC